AAUAAGCUCAUUUUUCAAUUAUUAGAUACAAUGCUGUGACUCUUCGUCUUAUUUGAAUUUUUUGUAAUUAAUAUUUUUAUUUUUACUAGAUGAUAAACCAUAAUAAUACUUUACGUGUGGCUAAUUUACUUAAGUUUUUGUAUAUUUUUUUUUCAAAUAAGACAAAUGGUCAAAGCGUUGAAUACAUAAAUAGAAAGAUGAACUUAUA
This 208-nucleotide microRNA precursor is filed under the name Oryza brachyantha (malo sina). RNAcentral describes it as "MIR812 microRNA precursor family". It matches the Rfam family "MIR812 microRNA precursor family". The record is from Rfam by way of RNAcentral. Lineage: Eukaryota; Viridiplantae; Streptophyta; Magnoliopsida; Poales; Poaceae.